This 498-nucleotide ribosomal RNA is filed under the name uncultured bacterium. RNAcentral describes it as "bacterial SSU rRNA". It matches the Rfam family "Bacterial small subunit ribosomal RNA", at positions 15 to 518 of the family's 1533-position model. The record is from RNAcentral.
GAUCCUGGCUUAGGAUGAACGCUGGCGGCGUGCUUAACACAUGCAAGUCGAACGGAGCUUAGAAGGAAGCUUGCUUCAUUAAGCUUAGUGGCGGACGGGUGAGUAACGCGUGAGCAACCUGCCCUCGAGUGGGGAAUAACAUCGAGAAAUCGGUGCUAAUACCGCAUAAUGUCGAGAGACCGCAUGAUCUUUCGACCAAAGGAUUUAUUCGCUUGAGGAUGGGCUCGCGUCCGAUUAGCUAGUUGGUGAGGUAACGGCCCACCAAGGCUUCGAUCGGUAGCCGAACUGAGAGGUUGAUCGGCCACAUUGGGACUGAGACACGGCCCAGACUCCUACGGGAGGCAGCAGUGGGGAAUAUUGGGCAAUGGGCGAAAAAGCCUGACCCAGCAACGCCGCGUGAAGGAUGAAGGUCUUCGGAUUGUAAACUUCUUUGAUUGGGGAAGAAUAAAAUGACCUACCCAAAGAACAAGCCACGGCUAACUACGUGCCAGCCGCCGC